Molecule: non-coding RNA, 342 nt
Filed under: Furfurilactobacillus rossiae
Lineage: Bacteria; Bacillati; Bacillota; Bacilli; Lactobacillales; Lactobacillaceae
Description: Lactobacillus rossiae T-box sequence
Rfam family: T-box leader (bases 1-232)
About the family: Uncharged tRNA acts as the effector for transcription antitermination of genes in the T-box leader family.
Source: RNAcentral
GAAAUGACAAUGAACGGAAGAGUAAAUGACAGGCUUGUCCAGAAAGUAAUCGCUGCUGUGAUGGUUACCCUGACUGUUGUUGAAACACAUCUGUGAGUCGUUUGGCUGAAUUUAUGAAGUAGGUUAAACCGGUCGGUCCGUUACCCCAAGGAGUUUAUAAACAAACUCGUUGAGUCAGUUACUGUGAAGUAAUUGAAAGCUUGAGGUGGAACCGCGCAAACACGCCCUCUUUAGUCACUAAGAUGACUAAAGAGGGCGUGUUUUUGUUUAUAAACUCCGUGAGUUUAUCGUCGUGAGGCGGUAGAAAAAUGAGGUGGCACCACGUUAACCAACGUCCUCUAA